UGAAUACGAGACGCUAAGGCGUCGAAGUAGUGUAUGUCAUACUUCCAAGAAAAGCUUGCACUGUCAUAGAUAAAAAACGCCUGUACCAUAACCGACACAGGUGGGUAGGUAGAGUAUACUAAGGGGCGCGAGAUAACUCUCUCUAAGGAACUCGGCAAAAUAACUCCGUAACUUCGGGAGAAGGAGUGCCUUAUUCGUAAGGUUGCAAUAACAAGAUCCAAGCAACUGUUUAUCAAAAACACAGGUCUCCGCUAAGUCGUAAGACGAUGUAUGGGGGCUGACGCCUGCCCAGUGCCAGAAGGUUAAAGAAGUUGGUUAGCAAUUGCGAAGCUGAUAACUGAAGCCCUGGUGAACGGCGGCCGUAACUAUAACGGUCCUAAGGUAGCGAAAUUCCUUGUCGGGUAAGUUCCGACCCGCACGAAAGGCGUAAUGAUUUGGAUACUGUCUCGGAGAGGGGCUCGGUGAAAUAGACUUGUCUGUGAAGAUGCGGACUACCUGCACCAGGACAGAAAGACCCUAUGAAGCUUUACUGUAACUUGAAAUUGAAAUUGGACUUUAUUCGCGCAGUAUAGGUGGGAGGCGUUGAUUAUAAUCUUGUGGGAUUAUUGGAGCCAUCAGUGAGAUACCACUCUUGUAAUGUUAGAUUUCUAACUUUGAAUCAUUAUCUGGUCAAAGAACAGUUUCAGGCGGGCAGUUUGACUGGGGCGGUCGCCUCCUAAACGGUAACGGAGGCGUACAAAGGUUUCCUCUGAACGGUUAGAAAUCGUAUCUAGAGUGUAAAGGCAUAAGGAAGCUUGACUGUGAGACCUACAAGUCGAGCAGGGACGAAAGUCGGUCUUAGUGAUCUGACGGUACUGAGUGGAAAGGCCGUCACUCAACGGAUAAAAGUUACUCUAAGGAUAACAGGCUGAUCUCCCCCAAGAGUUCACAUCGACGGGGAGGUUUGGCACCUCGAUGUCGGCUCAUCGCAUCCUGGGGCGGUAGUACGUCCCAAGGGUUGGGCUUUCGCCCAUGAAAGCGGUACGCGAGCUGGGUUCAGAACGUCGUGAGACAGUUCGGUCCAUAUCCGGUGUAGGCGUUAGAAUAUUGAGAGGAGCCUUCUUUAGUACGAGAGGACCGAGAAGGACAUACCUCUGGUGUACCAGUUAUCGUGCCAACGGUAAACGCUGGGUAGCUAUGUAUGGAGUGGAUAACCGCUGAAAGCAUCUAAGUGGGAAGCCCAUCUCAAGAUAAGUAUUCUCA
This 1242-nucleotide ribosomal RNA is filed under the name metagenome. RNAcentral's name for it is "bacterial LSU rRNA". It matches the Rfam family "Bacterial large subunit ribosomal RNA", at positions 1564 to 2816 of the family's 2925-position model. The record is from RNAcentral.